This 76-nucleotide transfer RNA is filed under the name bacterium. Its description in RNAcentral is "tRNA-Thr". It matches the Rfam family "tRNA". Rfam says of the family: Transfer RNA (tRNA) molecules are approximately 80 nucleotides in length. Their secondary structure includes four short double-helical elements and three loops (D, anti-codon, and T loops). The record is from RNAcentral.
GCCACCUUGGCUCAGUUGGUAGAGCAGCUCACUCGUAAUGAGCAGGUCGCCGGUUCGAUUCCGGCAGGUGGCUCAA